RNAcentral lists this ribosomal RNA (1341 nucleotides) under uncultured bacterium. RNAcentral describes it as "bacterial SSU rRNA". It matches the Rfam family "Bacterial small subunit ribosomal RNA", at positions 28 to 1380 of the family's 1533-position model. The record is from RNAcentral.
GAUGAACGCUGGCGGCGUGCCUAAGGCAUGCAAGUCGUGGGACAGGUUUUUUUGUAGCAAUACCGAGAAACACUGACCGGCAAACGGGAGAGUAACACAUUGAUAACUUACCUUUAAGACGAGGAUAGCCCACCGAAAGGUGGAUUAAUACUCGAUAGGCAUGAGGGGGCUUGAGGCCAUUCUCAUGUAAAACUUCGGUGCUUAAAGAGAGGUCUAUGUCUGAUUAGUUAGUUGGUGGGGUAAUGGCCUACCAAGACGAUGAUCAGUACCGGGCGUGAGAGCGUGACCCGGCUCACUGGGACUGAGAUACUGCCCAGACACCUACGGGUGGCUGCAGUCAGGAAUAUUCCGCAAUGCACGAAAGUGUGACGGAGCGACGCCGCGUGCAGGAAGACGCCCCUCGGGGUGUAAACUGCUUUUUCUUAGGGAAGAAUUUUUGACGGUACCUGAGGAAUAAAGAGGUUGCAAACUCUGUGCCAGCAGCAGCGGUAAUACAGAGACCUCAAGCGUUAUCCGGAUUCAUUGGGCGUAAAGCGUCCGCACGUGGUUUCUUAAGUUGGGAGUCAAAUCUUUGGGCUUAACCUAAAGACUGCUCUCAAUACUGGGAAACUUGAGACUGGGAGAGGUAUACGGAACUGUUGGUAUAGUAGUAAAAUGCGUUGAUAUCAACAGGAACACCAAAGGCGAAAGCAGUAUACUGGAACAGUUCUGACACUCAUGGACGAAAGCGUGGGGAGCGAAUGGGAUUAGAUACCCCAGUAGUCCACGCCCUAAACGAUGUGUACUAGGUAUUUGGAGUAUCGACCCUCUAAGUGCCGUUUAAAAAAGCUAACGCGUUAAGUACACCGCCUGGGGACUACGGCCGCAAGGUUAAAACUCAAAGGAAUAGACGGGGACCCGCACAAGCAGAGGAUCAUGUGGUUUAAUUCGAUGGUACGCGGCAAACCUCACCAAGGCUUGACAUGUAGCUGCAAGCUCCUGGAAACAGGAGCCGCCUUCGAGGGUGCUACACAGGUGCUGCAUGGUUGCCGUCAGCUCGUGCCGUGAGGUGUACCCUUAAGUGGGGUAACGAGCGCAACCCUCGUCGUGUGUUAAAUGUACACACGAGACUGCCCGCGCAAGCGGGAGGAAGGUGGGGACGACGUCAAAUCAGCAUGGUUCUUACGUCUUGGGCUACACACAUGAUACAAUGGCCGGUACAAAGGGACGCCAAACCGCGAGGUGGAGCCAAUCCCAAUAAAGCCGGUCUCAGUUCGGAUCGUAGGCUGCAAUUCGUCUACGUGAAGUUGGAUUUGCUAGUAAACGCGCAUCAGCACGGCGCGUUGAAUACGUUCUCGGGUC